UUCCAACAGCCACAAGAACAAUACACAGACAAACAAAAAAAGCAUGAAGAACAUCGUACACCAAAUACUGUCACAUUAAACAUAGUAAAUGACAAAAAGAUAAAUAUUCAAAGUUUGAUGAAAAGCUAUCAACUGUCACUUUCACCUGGAUCCUUGUCUUUGUACUUUUACAUUGCAUAUCAGUUCAUACAGGAAAAGAACUACGAAAACAAAGACAAAGAUUUACAGUUACUCUUGCUGGAAGCUAUCAUAGCAGACCGUGUGGAUUAUGUGUCAGCCAUGCUACAGAAUGGAGUCGAAUUCAAUUAUAAUCACUUUGAAACAUUAUAU
This is a long non-coding RNA of Mytilus trossulus (common blue mussel), 330 nucleotides long. RefSeq lists it as uncharacterized. The record is from RefSeq and is a predicted model, not a curated record. Lineage: Eukaryota; Metazoa; Mollusca; Bivalvia; Mytilida; Mytilidae. The transcript has 3 exons.